Molecule: long non-coding RNA, 1716 nt
Organism: Prionailurus viverrinus (fishing cat)
Lineage: Eukaryota; Metazoa; Chordata; Mammalia; Carnivora; Felidae
Exons: 4
Source: RefSeq, a predicted model, not a curated record
GGGGUCCAACGCCCCGCAGCGUCCCCCUCUGGAAUCUGGCGGCUUCGGAUAAACCUCUCCGCUCGUAGCUUUCCAGUGCACCAGCUGCUGCGAGAUAUCCGCCCCGCCCACGUUACCCGGUCCUACCCCCGCCUCCACCACUGCGCACGCUCUGCGCGCAGGCGCAGAGUGAACUCUUCCCGCGGAACAUUAGGCGCUGGAGCUCACGGUCCCGCGGCUGUGGCGGGCGGUGGCGGGCAGUCGCGGGCGGUCGCUGCCCACUUCCGUGUCCCGCUUUCAGGCUUAACGAACGUGGGGUACUACUGGCACAGCGGGCGCUUCCCGCUAUGGGCGUUUGUGAGCACUAGAGAUGCUGACGCCGAAGAGGGCAGCUCUGGGUUCAUGCGAGCUGGAGGCCCUUGGAGUCCCUGUGGCACCCCGAAUCCAGCACUGCCAUGGUCCGACGGAGGUCCCUGGGAUUCGAGCCGGCAGGGAUGGUGCGGCCAGGCCCUGCACUAGAUCCGGUGUGGCCCUAGUCCUUUCAAGCUGGGUCUUUGAGACAGAGGUCUUGGCUUCCAGAUCAGCGGAGCUCUUGGAGGCACAAGCUUGGUCACCCACCCUACCCAUUCGGCCUGGCUUUCUAGAGGGCCACUUCAAGAGCCAGAGUGAUGGCUGGGUCCAGUUUUCUCAUGUUUCAGAUUAAAAAAUUCACUAUGGACUGAGAUAGGAGGAAGGGGGCAAACCUCAUGUCAGUGGCAGAGGAAGAAUUAGAAGCUGUGUUUCCUUUGAGGCAAGGGGCCUGAAGACCCAGUCCUUAACAUUUCCUGCCACUUACAAGCUUUGACCAAGUCCCUGCAUGUCUCUGAGCCCGGCCUUUCUUCCUUUAAUGGGGAUAAUACUCUUCCCACCUACCUCAUUCAGUUGGUGUAGAGGUCAAAGUCAUACAUCUUUUCUCAAUCAUUUAUUCACUACUCAAACCAAAACCGGGCCCUAAUGUGUUGCAGAACAACUUUGGCAUUUAUGAAGCACCAUGCAAAGCAUUAGAAAUGCUUCCCUCAGCAUCCUGAAGCUCCCAAGCUGCCUUAUUCCUAAGAGAAUCUUCCCAUCCUCACUCUCAUCACCCAAAGAUUCUGAAAAAGGAUGGAGGAAGGAUAUCACCUGGACUGGUGGUCAUGAAACUUCUAGAAAACUUGGAAGAAGCCUUCUUUAAACUGCAUGGAGAUGGAUAAAUCAGUUCACAGAUUAUUGUUGUAUUUGGUUGAGAGAGGAAGGUGGGUGACAAAAUAUGGUAGGCUCCUUGAGGCCCCCAGCCGGUUCUGCUUGUCUCAGUAGUCUCUAUGCCUUUUGCGGCUCCUGAGCCCGAGGACAUAUUCCCAGAUGAGCGGGAAACUGAAGAGCCUUGGCCUGAUUACAGGAGUGAGGAACACUUCAUGACAAAAGGAGGGAUCGGUGUUCUACGUUGAUGUGCCAACAGUCCACUUCUCAGGAGGUUAAGUCAAAGCAGCUGGUCUGAGACAGCCUGACCCACACAUGGCCCAGUGACUACCAGAGACAACCUUGGGAAGCGGAGUGUUGGUAGACUCCCUGGCAUUGAACCUGUGACCCAGACACCCGGCCUUGAGUUUAAACUCUGUCAUCUCAGACUAGUUUUUAGCACUAUGGACAUUUAGAAUCCCUACACAUUUCUCAAUUUAAAUGGAGUAAUGAAGAUCCUUUUCUGCUUAUCUUUGACAUUUU